CCCUUAGAUGUUCUGGGCCGCACGCGCGCUACACUGAAGGGAUCAGCGUGUUUUCCCUUCCCGAGAGGGACGGGUAACCCGCUGAACCCCCUUCGUGGUAGGGAUCGGAGCUUGCAAUUGUUCUCCGUGAACCAGGAAUUCCCAGUAAGCGCAAGUCAUAAGCUUGCGUUGAUUACGUCCCUGCCCUUUGUACACACCGCCCGUCGCUACUGCCGAUUGAACGUUUUAGUGAGGUAUUUGGACUGGGCCUUGGGAGGUUUCGGCCUCCCUUGUUGCUCGGAAAGACUCCCAAACUUGAGCGUUUAGAGGAAGUAAAAGUCGUAACA
RNAcentral lists this ribosomal RNA (326 nucleotides) under uncultured eukaryote. RNAcentral describes it as "partial 18S ribosomal RNA". It matches the Rfam family "Eukaryotic small subunit ribosomal RNA", at positions 1470 to 1796 of the family's 1831-position model. The record is from RNAcentral.